CCUGCCAAUCCUCGAUAUAGGCCGUCCCCUUCGGGGGCAGAGUGACAGGUGGUGCAUGGUUGUCGUCAGCUCGUGUCGUGAGAUGUUGGGUUAAGUCCCGCAACGAGCGCAACCCUUGAUCUUAGUUGCCAGCAUUCAGUUGGGCACUCUAAGGUGACUGCCGGUGACAAACCGGAGGAAGGUGGGGAUGACGUCAAAUCAUCAUGCCCCUUAUGACCUGGGCUACACACGUGCUACAAUGGACAGAACAAAGGGCAGCGAAACCGCGAGGUUAAGCCAAUCCCACAAAUCUGUUCUCAGUUCGGAUCGCAGUCUGCAACUCGACUGCGUGAAGCUGGAAUCGCUAGUAAUCGCGGAUCAGCAUGCCGCGGUGAAUACGUUCCCGGGCCUUGUACACACCGCCCAUACACUCAAAUGAAU
RNAcentral lists this ribosomal RNA (420 nucleotides) under Bacillus subtilis. RNAcentral describes it as "bacterial SSU rRNA". It matches the Rfam family "Bacterial small subunit ribosomal RNA", at positions 990 to 1411 of the family's 1533-position model. Lineage: Bacteria; Bacillati; Bacillota; Bacilli; Caryophanales; Bacillaceae. The record is from RNAcentral.